UGGUGAAACCGUUUCUCCACGGUUGUCUCUUUUUUUUUAUUUAUUUAUUUUUUUAACGAAGAUACUGCACGUACACACCUCAUUAAAUGUUUCCUACUUGCACAGAGGCAUCGACUCUUGACCUUUCCUCCCCACCACCAGCAAAGUGUGAGGAGAGGGAAAGCUGAGGUCAGGAGUCUUAAAUGACAAGCUUUUGACCAGUGAUCCUACUUUCAAAUUCUCAGCUGCACAUCUGUUCCUGUGUUUGGCAGCUACUUACGUUUGAAGCAGCUUGGGCCUGAUGAGGAAGAGGACCUUCUUGAAAGAAAAUCAGCAGAUGAAAUCUGGAUACUUCGUCCUUCCCCAUGAGACCUGGAGGGCUCUUGCAUUCGUGAGCCUUUCUGCUCAGCCCUGAAGAGGUGAGCAUCUGGGACACAAACAGAAACCCCUCACUCAUCAACUACAGAGUGCACUCGAGUUGAGCAGCUGUUUGCCUUUCCGUGCUACAAUAUCCUAGAAACCCCAAGGUAUCUCAGGUAUGUUCAGAGAAGAAAGAAGGAAAAAAAAAAAAGCACCUCUAGACUUUUCACGACAUAAGAAAGCAUAAAAGCCUGCCUAAUAUUUCAUACAAAUAACCCUG
This 619-nucleotide long non-coding RNA is filed under the name Calidris pygmaea (Spoon-billed sandpiper). RNAcentral describes it as "lncRNA (ENSCPGG00000014614.1)". The record is from RNAcentral. Lineage: Eukaryota; Metazoa; Chordata; Aves; Charadriiformes; Scolopacidae.